AAAUUGAAGAGUUUGAUCAUGGCUCAGAUUGAACGCUGGCGGCAGGCCUAACACAUGCAAGUCGAACGGUAACAGGAAGCAGCUUGCUGCUUUGCUGACGAGUGGCGGACGGGUGAGUAAUGUCUGGGAAACUGCCUGAUGGAGGGGGAUAACUACUGGAAACGGUGGCUAAUACCGCAUAACGUCGCAAGACCAAAGAGGGGGACCUUCGGGCCUCUUGCUAUCAGAUGUGCCCAGAUGGGAUUAGCUUGUUGGUGAGGUAACGGCUCACCAAGGCGACGAUCCCUAGCUGGUCUGAGAGGAUGACCAGCCACACUGGAACUGAGACACGGUCCAGACUCCUACGGGAGGCAGCAGUGGGGAAUAUUGCACAAUGGGCGCAAGCCUGAUGCAGCCAUGCCGCGUGUAUGAAGAAGGCCUUCGGGUUGUAAAGUACUUUCAGCGGGGAGGAAGGUGUUGUGGUUAAUAACC
Molecule: ribosomal RNA, 471 nt
Filed under: Salmonella enterica
Lineage: Bacteria; Pseudomonadati; Pseudomonadota; Gammaproteobacteria; Enterobacterales; Enterobacteriaceae
Also listed under: 2 other names
Description: bacterial SSU rRNA
Rfam family: Bacterial small subunit ribosomal RNA
Source: RNAcentral